ACGGAAGGCAGCAGUGGGGAAUAUUGGACAAUGGGGGAAACCCUGAUCCAGCGACGCCGCGUGAGUGAAGAAGUAUUUCGGUAUGUAAAGCUCUAUCAGCAGGGAAGAUAAUGACGGUACCUGACUAAGAAGCCCCGGCUAACUACGUGCCAGCAGCCGCGGUAAUACGUAGGGGGCAAGCGUUAUCCGGAUUUACUGGGUGUAAAGGGAGCGUAGACGGCAAGACAAGUCUGAAGUGAAAGGCAUGGGCUCAACCUGUGGACUGCUUUGGAAACUGCCUUGCUUGAGUGCCGGAGGGGUAAGCGGAAUUCCUAGUGUAGCGGUGAAAUGCGUAGAUAUUAGGAGGAACACCAGUGGCGAAGGCGGCUUACUGGACGGUAACUGACGUUGAGGCUCGAAAGCGUGGGGAGCAAACAGGAUCAGAUACCCUGGUA
RNAcentral lists this ribosomal RNA (434 nucleotides) under uncultured Lachnospiraceae bacterium. RNAcentral's name for it is "bacterial SSU rRNA". It matches the Rfam family "Bacterial small subunit ribosomal RNA", at positions 341 to 792 of the family's 1533-position model. Lineage: Bacteria; Bacillati; Bacillota; Clostridia; Lachnospirales; Lachnospiraceae. The record is from RNAcentral.